This 514-nucleotide small RNA is filed under the name Pan troglodytes (chimpanzee). Its description in RNAcentral is "processed transcript". The record is from RNAcentral. Lineage: Eukaryota; Metazoa; Chordata; Mammalia; Primates; Hominidae.
AGAUUCCAUGCCGGAAUGAAGCCAUGGUGGGCCAGGGACUGGGCGUUACCCAGCAGGGGGCAGUGUGUGUGUCCUGGGGAGACCAAUGCCUGCCUGGAUGCGGAGGGGGGUGAGGGGCCUCCCGCUCCCUGGGAACAGCUGUUCAACUCUGCUAAGGCUGAUUCCUCUUUGAGACCACCCCAGUCCUUUCUCCCCACAGGCUGGUAGAGAGUGCCCGAGAGGCCUGGAGAAGACUUUGGACCUGCUUUCACAACUGCAGAGCCUCCUGGAGCCACACCUUGACAAAGGUGACUUUGGUCAGCUCUCCGGUCCAGACCCCCCAGGUGAGGUGGGCGAAAAAGCACCUGAUGGAGCCUCCCAGUCCUCUCAUGAGCCUAUGGAAGAUGCUGCUCCCCUUCUCUCCCCGUUAGCUUCCCCGGAUCCUCAAGCCAAGCAUCCUCAGGAUCUGGCCUCCACCCCAUCACCAGGCCCAAUGACCACCUCAGUCUCCUCCCUAAGUGCCUCCCAGCCACCA